RNAcentral lists this ribosomal RNA (475 nucleotides) under uncultured bacterium. Its description in RNAcentral is "partial 16S ribosomal RNA". It matches the Rfam family "Bacterial small subunit ribosomal RNA", at positions 28 to 507 of the family's 1533-position model. The record is from RNAcentral.
GAUGAACGCUGGCAGCAUGCCUAAUACAUGCAAGUCGACCUGACCUACGAGGUGCUUGCUGCUCGGAUGUUAGCGGCGUACGGAUCAGUCACCCGUGGUUGACCUACCUAUUAGAAUGGAAUACCUACACCAGACCGUAUCUAUUACCGGCUACUAUGUUUAACCACAUGUUUCAACGCUGUGAGAGAGUUUUGCUGCCCAUUAGCUAGUUGUUCAGGUAACGUUAGCUCAAGGCGAUGAUGCGUAGCUGACAUGGGAGGGUGGUCUGCCACACUGGAACGGUGACACGGCACAGACGCACACGGGAGGGAGCAGUAGGGAAUCGUGCGCAAUGGGCGAAAGCCUGACGGAGCAACGCCGCGUGAGUGAUGAAGGUCUUCGGAGUGUAAGACUAUGUUAUUAGGGAAGAAAAGAUGUUUAAGUAACUAUGCAAAUCAUGACGGUACCUAAUGAGAAAGUCACGGCUAACUACGUG